RNAcentral lists this long non-coding RNA (1870 nucleotides) under Gouania willdenowi (blunt-snouted clingfish). RNAcentral's name for it is "lncRNA (ENSGWIG00000000958.1)". Lineage: Eukaryota; Metazoa; Chordata; Actinopteri; Blenniiformes; Gobiesocidae. The record is from RNAcentral.
AAUUGGAUUGAUUUUAAAGGAAAAACCAUGCUGCAGAUGCGAGAGGACGAGCUGCAGUGACCUGCGAUGGAUCGGCCAUGGAUCUCGAGAGACAUAAAGAUAAUAAUCAUAAUAAUAAUUCUCAACUUCUGUUACCUUUGAGGUGUGUGUGUGUGUGUGUGUGUGUGUGUGUGUGUGUGUGUGUGUGUGUGUGUGUGUGUGUGUGGUCCUUUGUGUGAGGAUUAGGCCUGCUUGAAGUUUUACUGACAUUGUUCUUGUAAUUACAAUGAACUUCAAACCAACUUAUUUUCUUGGAAUCUUCUUGAUGUCAGAAACAUCUUACGUUUUCUGGCCUUUUGUUUUCCAACAGAGAGAAGAAUCACAACAGGGGGGGGUCCAGGAGCCAAGGAAGGAUGAAGGGCGUGAAUGUGGAGGUGUGAAAGCCAGGGCGGCCCUUGAAGCCAGGUGAAGCACAAUGAGGAGACUCAUUCAUCUUUGGAGCAGCAGUAGACAAGGACCAGAGGACCAACAGAGACGAGAAUCACCACAGGAGUCCAGGAAGAAACAGGAAGGAUGAAGGUGUGAAUACAGAGGUGUGAAAGCCAGGGCGGCCCUUAAAGCCAGGUGAAGCACAAUGAGGAGACUCAUUCAUCGUUGGAGCAGCAUCAGAGAAGGACCAGAGGACCGCCAACGAACAUUGAUUCCCGAACAAGGUACGACACCAACACCAUAAUGUUAACUUUUGCUGCUUUGUCCAUGAAAUACAGCGACUCACUGCUGUUACUUAUUUCUGCAUUGGAAUUAGAUUUAUUUUAAAGAUGGACAACCGCACUCUUUGCGAACCAGCAGGGACGAGCAUUUGCACUAAAAGAAAAGUUCUUCGAAACAUGGCCAGCCAGACUGAAGAGAAAGUACUCCACAACAGAGCCACACAGACAGGAGAGGAGGCAUCCGGGUGCAGCACAUGGAAACCACUGCUGACGAUGAUGGCAACCAUCAAACGCCACAGUGUUUUAAAGGUCUGCCCCUAUUGCAAGUCCUCUGUCCUCUCGUACGGACAUUUCAUUCAUAAGAAUGAAAUAUACUGCGAGGGGACAGGGGAGACCCUGGGCCUCUGGCUUCAUGAGAGGCAGGUCUCGAGGACAACGAGGUGGAGGUUGGAAACCACCUUCAACAAUAUGAAAAAAGGUAUUGUCCCGGGGCCUGCUUCCAGGAGGCACUGUCCUAAGUGUGGGCAGCAGAAGACCAGAGAAACGGGCCACACAAUACUGAGGUCGGCCAGGGCAAGCUUUUGCCAGCGCACUGACCCGCAGGGCAGAACGGUGGAGGAGUGGCUGACCCAAAUGCGGGGUGGCAUCACCAGUUAGGACAUGAAGGAGAUGGCGCUCUCUGCCCGGCGGGUCCAGGCCAAGGCAAAGCGGGACCGGCAGAAGAUGGAGAGACAGGCGGAGCGAGAUGGUGGACAGAGUGGGCGAAGAGGCGAGGGCUGAUGGCGUCACCAAGAAUGCCGUCAUCCAGAGGAGGCGAAGGGCACAGGCACGGAAAGUGCGCGAUGACUUGUUUGGCCACAAAGCCCCUUCUGUGCAUGAUAGAGUGUUGAAUGUGUGUGUGUGUGUGUUUGCAGUGUUUAAGUUAAGUUUUUGUAUUUAUUUGUGCAGCGUGUUUAUAAUUUUGUGUUUGCAGUGUUUUAAGUUACUUUUUUUUAUUUAUUUAUGCGGCGUGUUUAUAAUUUUGUGUUUGCAGUGUUUUAAGUUACUCUUUUUAUUUAUCUAUUUAUGCAGGAGUUUUAUAGUGUUUAAGUUACUUUUUUUUUCAUUUAUUUAUGCGGCGUGUUUAUAAUUUUGUUUGCAGUGUUUAAGUUACUCUUUUUAUUUAUCUAUUUAUGCAGGAG